CACGGAGUUAGCCGAUGCUUUUUCUUCGGAUACACGCAGUCCGGGACACGUCCCGGGUUUUGUUCUCCGACAAAAGAGGUUUACAACCCAUAGGGCCGUCUUCCCUCACGCGGCUUGGCUGGUUCAGGGUCUCUCCCAUUGACCAAUAUUCCUCACUGCUGCCUCCCGUAGGAGUCUGGUCCGUGUCUCAGUACCAGUGUGGGGGACCUUCCUCUCAGAACCCCUACGCAUCGUCGCCACGGUGGGCCGUUACCCCGCCGUCAAGCUAAUGCGCCGCAUGCCCAUCCUCUUCCGAUGAAUCUUUCCUCGAUCUCGGAUGCCCGAAACCGAUAUACGCGGGAUUAGCCUCCCUUUCGGAAGGUUGUCCCCCUGAAGAGGGCAGGUUGCAUACGUGUUACUCACCCGUGCGCCGGUCGCCGGCAAGGAAAGCAAGCUUCCCUCCCGAUGCCCCUCGACUUGCAUGUGUUAAGCCUGCCGCUAGCGUUCAUCCUGAGCCAGGAUCAAACUCUA
Molecule: ribosomal RNA, 510 nt
Filed under: uncultured Bacteroidales bacterium
Lineage: Bacteria; Pseudomonadati; Bacteroidota; Bacteroidia; Bacteroidales
Description: partial 16S ribosomal RNA
Source: RNAcentral